GGCGGGAUGGCAGAGUGGUUAUGCAGCGGCCUGCAAAGCCGUUGACCUCGGUUCGAUUCCGGGUCCCGCCUCCA
This 74-nucleotide transfer RNA is filed under the name Burkholderiaceae bacterium. Its description in RNAcentral is "tRNA-Cys". It matches the Rfam family "tRNA". Rfam says of the family: Transfer RNA (tRNA) molecules are approximately 80 nucleotides in length. Their secondary structure includes four short double-helical elements and three loops (D, anti-codon, and T loops). Further hydrogen bonds mediate the characteristic L-shaped molecular structure. tRNAs have two regions of fundamental functional importance: the anti-codon, which is responsible for specific mRNA codon recognition, and the 3' end, to which the tRNAs corresponding amino acid is attached (by aminoacyl-tRNA synthetases). tRNAs cope with the degeneracy of the genetic code in two manners: having more than one tRNA (with a specific anti-codon) for a particular amino acid; and 'wobble' base-pairing, i.e. permitting non-standard base-pairing at the 3rd anti-codon position. The record is from RNAcentral. RNAcentral also lists the same sequence under 1 other name. Lineage: Bacteria; Pseudomonadati; Pseudomonadota; Betaproteobacteria; Burkholderiales; Burkholderiaceae.